AGCAGCCGCGGUAAUUCCAGCUCCAAUAGCGUAUAUUAAAGUUGUUGCAGUUAAAAAGCUCGUAGUUGAAUUUCGGGACUAAUAUGUCGGUCGUGCCUCGGUACGUACUGGUUUAUUGGUUUCUCCUUUCUGAAGAACCAUGAUGUCAUUUAUUUGGUGUCGUGGGGAAUCAGGACUGUUACUUUGAAAAAAUUAGAGUGUUUAAAGCAGGCUCACGCUUGAAUACAUUAGCAUGGAAUAAUGAAAUAGGACGUUUGAUUCUAUUUUGUUGGUUUCUAGGAUCGACGUAAUGAUUAAUAGGGAUAGUUGGGGCAUUAGUAUUCAAUUGUCAGAGGUGAAAUUCUUGGAUUUAUUGAAGACUAACUACUGCGAAAGCAUUUGCCAAGGAUGUCUUCAUUAAUCAAGAACGAAAGUUAGGGGAUCGAAGACGAUCAG
RNAcentral lists this ribosomal RNA (435 nucleotides) under uncultured Glomus. RNAcentral describes it as "SSU rRNA". It matches the Rfam family "Eukaryotic small subunit ribosomal RNA", at positions 569 to 1011 of the family's 1831-position model. Lineage: Eukaryota; Fungi; Glomeromycota; Glomeromycetes; Glomerales; Glomeraceae. The record is from RNAcentral.